This 1166-nucleotide unclassified non-coding RNA is filed under the name Hevea brasiliensis (rubber tree). The record is from RNAcentral. Lineage: Eukaryota; Viridiplantae; Streptophyta; Magnoliopsida; Malpighiales; Euphorbiaceae.
AAGUAGUAGAGCAGAGGUUUGGCCAUUCCUCCUUGGAGUGUAAGCAUGCUUAACUCUGUUUCAUUCCUAUAAAUAUUGUUAUAAUUGUUUUCAUUGCUGCCGUUGUCUCGUAUUCCAGUGAUCAACCCUUGAACAUGUUAUAUCAAAUAUUGCCAUUUUUUUCCUUCUUUUGGUGGUGGGAGGAGGUGUUCUCUUUGAUACUACAUUGGGGAGGGUUUUAAUCAAUUUCCUCUCCACAUCCAGAUACUAUGAAUUAGGGUUCAAUUAUGCAUAUGUUCUGGCAUUUGGAAGCAGCAUCUUAUCGGUUAAUUUCUCCUUAUCUAUUUCAGUUCUGCACAAUGUUAUUUUUGAUAGUGAGAUUCUACUUUCUGUAGCCAAACUUUUAUUUUUGUACAUUAAGAAUUGCCAUAUCCGGAAAAAUUGCGUUGGAGAUGCUUUUUAUUUUUUGCCUAUACUGUUGCAUUUUUCUUAGGGAAUGUCAAUAUAAUGACUGAUUUCUUCACUUUCUGUAAACAGCUAUGACUUGAACAGUUCAAAAAAAGAAAGAGACGAUAUUAGAAACCGGAACAGGUACAUUUAACAAUCUGCUUCUUCCUUUAAGAUGCUGUGAAUCUAAGAUAAGUUGACUGGUAGUUUUUCAGUCCUAGAUGCUGUAUCCUUUUUCUUUGGCUUUUAUUCUUGGCUUCCUUCUUGACAAUGUGUGCUACAGGAAGAAAUAUGAGGAGCUCCGUAGACAGUGCCUGCAGCUUCUCAAAUGCAGCGAUGAGAGCUUGAAGUUGAAGGAGAGUGGUGAAACAUUCAGUAAUGGGGAUGAUAGAGGCUCUGAAUCACCUGAUUCAGACUCCUCUGUAGACCCUCAAGCUGUCAUACAGGGUUCCCCUUCUUCAGAAGGCCAAGAAGAAAAUCAGCCUUCCAAGGAGAAAGGGACUGAGCCCCAAUCAAACGAACCUGCCACUGAGAAUUUUGCCACAUGGCAGCGGAUCAUUCGUGUUGAUGCAGUGCGUGCAAAUGCAGAAUGGAUACCUUUCUCCCGAUCUCAGGCUUUAGUGACAGAGGAUAGAGCACUCCGUGCUGCAAAGGCUGUUGGAUUAAAGGACUACGAUCAUCUGGAACCCAGCAGGAUUUUCCAUGCUGCCCGAUUAGUUGCUAUUCUUGAAGCCUAUGCA